UACGAAGGGGGCUAGCGUUGCUCGGAAUCACUGGGCGUAAAGGGUGCGUAGGCGGGUCUUUAAGUCAGGGGUGAAAUCCUGGAGCUCAACUCCAGAACUGCCUUUGAUACUGAAGAUCUUGAGUUCGGGAGAGGUGAGUGGAACUGCGAGUGUAGAGGUGAAAUUCGUAGAUAUUCGCAAGAACACCAGUGGCGAAGGCGGCUCACUGGCCCGAUGCUGACGCUGAGGCACGAAAGCGUGGGGAGCAAACAGG
RNAcentral lists this ribosomal RNA (253 nucleotides) under uncultured bacterium. RNAcentral's name for it is "partial 16S ribosomal RNA". It matches the Rfam family "Bacterial small subunit ribosomal RNA", at positions 524 to 776 of the family's 1533-position model. The record is from RNAcentral.